RNAcentral lists this ribosomal RNA (497 nucleotides) under uncultured bacterium. RNAcentral describes it as "partial 16S ribosomal RNA". It matches the Rfam family "Bacterial small subunit ribosomal RNA", at positions 28 to 507 of the family's 1533-position model. The record is from RNAcentral.
GAUGAACGCUGGCGGCGUGCCUAAUACAUGCAAGUCGAGCGAACGGACGAGACUCUUGCUUCUCUGAUGUUACCGGCGGACGGGUGAGUCACAGGUGGAUACCUUACCUAUAAGACUGGCAUAACUUCAGGAAACCUGAUCUAAUACCGGUCACUAUUUUGAACCGCAUGGUUCAUAGGUGCACAACGGUCUUGCUGUCCCUUAUACAGGGAUCCACGCUGCAUUAGCUAGUUGGUACGGUAACGGCUUACCAAGGCUACGAUGCGUAGCUGACCUGAGAGGAUGAUCGGCCACACUGGAACUGAGACACGGUCCAGACUCCUACGGGAGGCAGCAGUAGGGAAUAUUCGGCAAUGGGCGAAAGCCUGACGGAGCAACGCCGCGUGAGUGAUGAAGGUCUUCGGAUCGUAAAACUCUGUUAGUUGGGAGGAACAGAAGUGUAAGAAACUGUGGACAUCUUGACGUUACCAAAUCAGAAAGCCACGGCUAACUACGUG